RNAcentral lists this ribosomal RNA (120 nucleotides) under Pogona vitticeps (central bearded dragon). Lineage: Eukaryota; Metazoa; Chordata; Lepidosauria; Squamata; Agamidae. The record is from RNAcentral.
GAAGGCAAGGCUACGGCUCCUGAAUGUAUCUGAUCUCAUCAGAUUCUGGAAGCUAAGCAGAGUCAGCCUGGGUGAUUAUUUGGAUGGGUGACCAGGAGAGAACUCUUCGGAUCUCCAUCU